This 76-nucleotide non-coding RNA is filed under the name Bradyrhizobium sp. Rc2d. The record is from RNAcentral. Lineage: Bacteria; Pseudomonadati; Pseudomonadota; Alphaproteobacteria; Hyphomicrobiales; Nitrobacteraceae.
GGGAGCCGUGUGACUCGAGAGGGUCAUGCACGGUUCUGGGAGCGCCCGGAGGUGAAAUUCCUCCGGGCGACUCGAC